UGAGACACCUUCCCAUUAGGUUGAACA
Molecule: non-coding RNA, 27 nt
Filed under: Rattus norvegicus (Norway rat)
Lineage: Eukaryota; Metazoa; Chordata; Mammalia; Rodentia; Muridae
Source: RNAcentral